This 1372-nucleotide ribosomal RNA is filed under the name uncultured bacterium. RNAcentral describes it as "bacterial SSU rRNA". It matches the Rfam family "Bacterial small subunit ribosomal RNA", at positions 28 to 1381 of the family's 1533-position model. The record is from RNAcentral.
GAUGAACGCUGGCGGCGUGCCUAAUACAUGCAAGUCGAGCGAACGGACGAGAAGCUUGCUUCUCUGAUGUUAGCGGCGGACGGGUGAGUAACACGUGGAUAACCUACCUAUAAGACUGGGAUAACUUCGGGAAACCGGAGCUAAUACCGGAUAAUAUUUUGAACCGCAUGGUUCAAAAGUGAAAGACGGUCUUGCUGUCACUUAUAGAUGGAUCCGCGCUGCAUUAGCUAGUUGGUAAGGUAACGGCUUACCAAGGCAACGAUGCAUAGCCGACCUGAGAGGGUGAUCGGCCACACUGGAACUGAGACACGGUCCAGACUCCUACGGGAGGCAGCAGUAGGGAAUCUUCCGCAAUGGGCGAAAGCCUGACGGAGCAACGCCGCGUGAGUGAUGAAGGUCUUCGGAUCGUAAAACUCUGUUACUAGGGAAGAACAUAUGUGUAAGUAACUGUGCACAUCUUGACGGUACCUAAUCAGAAAGCCACGGCUAACUACGUGCCAGCAGCCGCGGUAAUACGUAGGUGGCAAGCGUUAUCCGGAAUUAUUGGGCGUAAAGCGCGCGUAGGCGGUUUUUUAAGUCUGAUGUGAAAGCCCACGGCUCAACCGUGGAGGGUCAUUGGAAACUGGAAAACUUGAGUGCGGAAGAGGAAAGUGGAAUUCCAUGUGUAGCGGUGAAAUGCGCAGAGAUAUGGAGGAACACCAGUGGCGAAGGCGACUUUCUGGUCUGUAACUGACGCUGAUGUGCGAAAGCGUGGGGAUCAAACAGGAUUAGAUACCCUGGUAGUCCACGCCGUAAACGAUGAGUGCUAAGUGUUAGGGGGUUUCCGCCCCUUAGUGCUGCAGCUAACGCAUUAAGCACUCCGCCUGGGGAGUACGACCGCAAGGUUGAAACUCAAAGGAAUUGACGGGGACCCGCACAAGCGGUGGAGCAUGUGGUUUAAUUCGAAGCAACGCGAAGAACCUUACCAAAUCUUGACAUCCUUUGACAACUCUAGAGAUAGAGCUUUCCCCUUCGGGGGACAAAGUGACAGGUGGUGCAUGGUUGUCGUCAGCUCGUGUCGUGAGAUGUUGGGUUAAGUCCCGCAACGAGCGCAACCCUUAAGCUUAGUUGCCAUCAUUAAGUUGGGCACUCUAAGUUGACUGCCGGUGACAAACCGGAGGAAGGUGGGGAUGACGUCAAAUCAUCAUGCCCCUUAUGAUUUGGGCUACACACGUGCUACAAUGGACAAUACAAAGGGCAGCGAAACCGCGAGGUCAAGCAAAUCCCAUAAAGUUGUUCUCAGUUCGGAUUGUAGUCUGCAACUCGACUACAUGAAGCUGGAAUCGCUAGUAAUCGUAGAUCAGCAUGCUACGGUGAAUACGUUCCCGGGUCU